This 207-nucleotide ribosomal RNA is filed under the name uncultured bacterium. RNAcentral's name for it is "partial 16S ribosomal RNA". It matches the Rfam family "Bacterial small subunit ribosomal RNA", at positions 568 to 774 of the family's 1533-position model. The record is from RNAcentral.
CGCGUAGGUGGUUUGGUCAGUCAGAUGUGAAGGCCCUGGGCUUAACCUGGGAAUUGCAUUUGAUACUGCCAGACUGGAGUAUGGUAGAGGGAAGUGGAAUUCCGGGUGUAGCGGUGAAAUGCGUAGAUAUCCGGAGGAACAUCAGUGGCGAAGGCGGCUUCCUGGACCAAUACUGACACUGAGGUGCGAAAGCGUGGGUAGCAAACA